This 201-nucleotide long non-coding RNA is filed under the name Mytilus galloprovincialis (Mediterranean mussel). The record is from RNAcentral. Lineage: Eukaryota; Metazoa; Mollusca; Bivalvia; Mytilida; Mytilidae.
GUUUAUUUGUUUUUGGAGUCUUGUGUCAGUGGUUUUUGAUGUCUGUUGUGCAGUUCUGUAUUUUUGGUGACUCCUGUUAUUCAGGUUGGUCAGAUAGACAUAUUAGAAAUCAUUUUGAAACUAAAACAUUGUACACAAUGUAAUACAAUUGAGGUCAUCCUAUGUUGCAACUAGCCAUGGCAACAUUGGAUAUAAAGGACU